UACAGAGGUCUCAACCGUUGUUCGGAUUCAUUGGGCGUAAAGGGUGCGUAGGCGGUCGUGCAAGUCGGAUGUGAAAUCUCGGGGCUCAACCCCGAAACUGCAUUCGAUACUGCGUGGCUAGAGUGCUGGAGGGGAGACUGGAAUUUACGGUGUAGCGGUGAAAUGCGUAGAUAUCGUAAGGAAGACCAGUGGCGAAGGCGGGUCUCUGGACAGUUCCUGACGCUGAGGCACGAAGGCCAGGGGAGCAAACGGG
Molecule: ribosomal RNA, 253 nt
Filed under: uncultured prokaryote
Description: partial 16S ribosomal RNA
Rfam family: Bacterial small subunit ribosomal RNA
Source: RNAcentral